AUUGAACGCUGGCGGCAUGCUUUACACAUGCAAGUCGAACGGUAACAGGCCGCAAGGUGCUGACGAGUGGCGAACGGGUGAGUAAUGCAUCGGAACGUGCCCAGUCGUGGGGGAUAACGCAGCGAAAGCUGCGCUGAUACCGCAUACGAUCUCUGGAUGAAAGCGGGGGACCGAAAGGCCUCGCGCGAUUGGACCGGCCGAUGUCAGAUUAGGUAGUUGGUGGGGUAAGGGCCCACCAAGCCAACGAUCCGUAGCUGGUCCGAGAGGACGACCAGCCACACUGGGACUGAGACACGGCCCAGACUCCUACGGGAGGCAGCAGUGGGGAAUUUUGGACAAUGGGCGCAAGCCUGAUCCAGCAAUGCCGCGUGCAGGAAGAAGGCCUUCGGGUUGUAAACUGCUUUUGUACGGAACGAAACGGUCCGGGUUAAUACCCUGGGCUAAUGACGGUACCGUAAGAAUAAGCACCGGCUAACUACGUGCCAGCAGCCGCAGUAA
This 498-nucleotide ribosomal RNA is filed under the name uncultured bacterium. RNAcentral's name for it is "partial 16S ribosomal RNA". It matches the Rfam family "Bacterial small subunit ribosomal RNA", at positions 29 to 523 of the family's 1533-position model. The record is from RNAcentral.